Molecule: transfer RNA, 69 nt
Filed under: Loxodonta africana (African savanna elephant)
Lineage: Eukaryota; Metazoa; Chordata; Mammalia; Proboscidea; Elephantidae
Rfam family: tRNA
About the family: Transfer RNA (tRNA) molecules are approximately 80 nucleotides in length. Their secondary structure includes four short double-helical elements and three loops (D, anti-codon, and T loops).
Source: Rfam by way of RNAcentral
GUGGUGGUGGUUCAAUGGUAGAAUCCUUACCUUUCAUGCAGGAGGCCUGGGUUCCAUUCCUGGCCCAUG